GGGAGCUCAUAUUAAGGGGGAGAUUUUUAUAUUGUUACUCUUUUUGCUUAUGAUAAAAAAGGGGGAGAAGAAAACUAUAAGGGGAGAAGUAUAAUACAAAUUGUUAAUUGAUACAGGUACUGCUAAACUUUGUUGUCUGUUAGCUUGUAUGUUUUUGCAGGAAAGCCAAAGUUGCUUUUAAAAUUGAAUUUUUGAUCAUCAUCAAAAAGUGGGAGAUUGUUAACAAUAAGGAGCAUUGGUAAAUCUUGAAGAAAAUGGUUUUGAUGAUGCUGCAAGAAGUUUUAUUUGAAGAGAACAUUAGAAUUAUUUAAAAGCAAUUUGUAGAAAUUGAAUGUAGUAGGAAAGUCUCAAAUAAAUUGUAA
RNAcentral lists this long non-coding RNA (362 nucleotides) under Vigna radiata. RNAcentral describes it as "long non-coding RNA (VRAD_LNC015719)". Lineage: Eukaryota; Viridiplantae; Streptophyta; Magnoliopsida; Fabales; Fabaceae. The record is from RNAcentral.